UUUUUGAAUUUAAUUUAAAGUAAGGCCUGCCCMCUGAAAAUUUAAAGGGCCGCAGUAUUUUGACUGUGCAAAGGUAGCAUAAUCAUUAGUUUUUUAAUUGAAAGCUGGAAUGAAUGGUUAAAUGAAAAAAUAACUGUCUUAAAUUUAAAAUAAAAUUUUAUUUUUAAGUAAAAAAGCUUAAAUUUAUUUAAAAGACGAGAAGACCCUAUAGAGUUUAAUUUUAUAAAAAUUUAUAAUUUUAAGAAUUUAAUAUUUAUUUUUUUUUUAAAAAAAUUUAAUUGGGGUGAUUAUAAAAUUUAAAUAACUUUUAUUUAAUUAAAACAAAAAUUUUUGAUUUAUUGAUCCAUUUAAUGAUUAUAAGACUAAAUUACCUUAGGGAUAACAGCGUAAUUUUUUUUGAGAGUUCUUAUUAAAAAAAGAGAUUGCGACCUCGAUGUUGGAUUAAAGUUAAAAUUUGGUGUAGAAGCUAAAUAUUUAGGUCUGUUCGACCUUUAAAACUUUACA
RNAcentral lists this ribosomal RNA (504 nucleotides) under Platynaspis sp. CO630. RNAcentral's name for it is "partial 16S ribosomal RNA". The stretch from base 378 to 504 matches the Rfam family "Archaeal large subunit ribosomal RNA", at positions 2544 to 2671 of the family's 2987-position model. Lineage: Eukaryota; Metazoa; Arthropoda; Insecta; Coleoptera; Coccinellidae. The record is from RNAcentral.